This 253-nucleotide ribosomal RNA is filed under the name uncultured bacterium. RNAcentral describes it as "partial 16S ribosomal RNA". It matches the Rfam family "Bacterial small subunit ribosomal RNA", at positions 524 to 776 of the family's 1533-position model. The record is from RNAcentral.
UACGGAGGGUGCGAGCAUUAAUCGAAUUUAUUGGGCGUAAAGGGCGCGUAGGCGGGAAUGUAAGUCAGAUGUGAAAUCCCGGGGCUCAACCCCGGAACAGCAUUUGAAACUGCAUACCUAGAGGGUAGUCGGAGAAAACAGAAUUCCACAAGUAGCGGUGAAAUGCGUAGAUAUGUGGAAGAAUACCGGUGGCGAAGGCGGUUUUCUAGAUUAUACCUGACGCUGAGGCGCGAAAGCAAGGGGAUCAAACAGG